This 293-nucleotide ribosomal RNA is filed under the name uncultured bacterium. RNAcentral describes it as "partial 16S ribosomal RNA". It matches the Rfam family "Bacterial small subunit ribosomal RNA", at positions 775 to 1067 of the family's 1533-position model. The record is from RNAcentral.
GGAUUAGAUACCCUGGUAGUCCACGCCGUAAACGAUGGUCACUAGCUGUUCGAUGUACAUUGGUACGUUGAGUGGCUAAGCGAAAGUGAUAAGUGACCCACCUGGGGAGUACGUUCGCAAGAAUGAAACUCAAAGGAACUGACGGGGGCCCGCACAAGCGGUGGAGCAUGUGGUUUAAUUCGAUGAUACGCGAGGAACCUUACCAGGGCUUAAAUGUUAGGUGACAGAUCUAGAAAUAGAUUUUUCUUCGGACACUUAACAAGGUGCUGCAUGGCUGUCGUCAGCUCGUGCCG